AAAUUUUGAUCUUGAUUUUCUCUGAUCCAAUGAUUAGAGAGGGUGUUUCUCAGAUCACUCGUAGCCAUACGAAGUCAUCUGAUCUCUAUAGAAAAAUUCAUAUGGAGACUAACGUAGAUUAGGGGCUCGGAGAUGCUAGUCUGCAAACAACUUCGAUAGCUGACCUCUUUCUUCUUCUACAAGCAUCUUGGACACUCCAAAAUGAUAGGGGAUCUGG
RNAcentral lists this long non-coding RNA (217 nucleotides) under Elaeis guineensis (African oil palm). RNAcentral's name for it is "long non-coding RNA (EGUI_LNC021697)". Lineage: Eukaryota; Viridiplantae; Streptophyta; Magnoliopsida; Arecales; Arecaceae. The record is from RNAcentral.